GCCGAGCUCAGUUGCGCGGGCUUGUAACCCAGGUGGGGGCAUUAAGGUGGUGCGGAUGUUUGGUACCGAGUCUUGGUCUGGGCACAUGCUGUUCCUUGGUUGGCCUGCCCGUUCCAAGUUGGUAGUGGCCGUUGGAGGCUUGGGCGAAGGCCCUGGGCUUCCUUGGACCUAGAGUGGCAGGAACGGCGUGAGGCUGUCUUCACAGAGCAGCGAUCACUGCUCGCUAUUAACGGUGGGAGGAUAACAGGCCACUGCAGCAUGGGCUCGCUUAAGGCCCAGACUCAUACUAAAUAGACCACCAUUUUU
RNAcentral lists this signal recognition particle RNA (306 nucleotides) under Zea mays. Its description in RNAcentral is "Plant signal recognition particle RNA". It matches the Rfam family "Plant signal recognition particle RNA". The record is from Rfam by way of RNAcentral. Lineage: Eukaryota; Viridiplantae; Streptophyta; Magnoliopsida; Poales; Poaceae.